RNAcentral lists this unclassified non-coding RNA (492 nucleotides) under Hevea brasiliensis (rubber tree). Lineage: Eukaryota; Viridiplantae; Streptophyta; Magnoliopsida; Malpighiales; Euphorbiaceae. The record is from RNAcentral.
UAAGGAAACCGGAAAGUUUUACUUUAUUUCAUACGAAAGAGAAAGAAGUACAAAAGUAAUCGCAGAGAAAGCACACAGAAAAAGACAACAAAUUACAUGUAGGAGAGAGAAAUGGCUUAAUCGCCUCAUCUGGGAUUCAAAAUCAUACUAAAAUCAACGGCAAACAACAAAUUACAUGUGAUCUAUUAAGGUAAAAUAAAAAGACAAACAGUGGAUGCUAAUUCAUCAAUUGGGUAUUCAGUAAAUGGCGUAUGAUGGAUACCAAAGAGAAAAUAGACAUACGGCUGUUGGUAUUUGAGAUAGUACUUGAUUACAGUCAUGGUUGUGUCCAUGGCAGAAGAGGAAGAAGAGCGAAAGGCAAAGUAGGACAGCAUGAGUAGCUUCUUAGGCAGUGAGCUUUGCUGCAUCUUUUUUAUCGUAAAAGGGCUUUACCAGAGCUUCUCUUUUCAAUCUAUUGACUUCCUUAUUUUUAAGCUUUUGUUUUGCUAUUAG